Molecule: non-coding RNA, 53 nt
Organism: Thermoanaerobacterium xylanolyticum LX-11
Lineage: Bacteria; Bacillati; Bacillota; Clostridia; Thermoanaerobacterales; Thermoanaerobacteraceae
Source: Rfam
GGUUGAGCAAGAUUUUCUUGCUUCAAGAUUUUUGGCUUCUAGGGUGGGAAGCU